UGUGACCUCAAAUCAGGUAGGACUACCCGCUGAACUUAAGCAUAUCAAUAAGCGGAGGAAAAGAAACUAACAAGGAUUCCCCUAGUAACUGCGAGUGAAGCGGGAAAAGCUCAAAUUUAAAAUCUGGCAGUCUUUUGGCUGUCCGAGUUGUAAUCUAGAGAAGUGUUAUCCGCGCUGGACCGUGUACAAGUCUCCUGGAAUGGAGCAUCAUAGAGGGUGAGAAUCCCGUCUUUGACAUGGACUGCCAGGGCUUUUGUGAUGCGCUCUCAAAGAGUCGAGUUGUUUGGGAAUGCAGCUCAAAAUGGGUGGUAAAUUCCAUCUAAAGCUAAAUAUUGGCGAGAGACCGAUAGCGAACAAGUACCGUGAGGGAAAGAUGAAAAGAACUUUGGAAAGAGAGUUAAACAGUACGUGAAAUUGCUGAAAGGGAAACGCUUGAAGUCAGUCGCGUCGUCCAGGGAUCAACCUUGCUUUUGCUUGGUGCACUUUCUGGUUUGACGGGUCAGCAUCAAUUUUGAUCAUUGGAAAAAGGUCAAGGGAAUGUGGCAUCUUUGGAUGUGUUUAUAGCCCUUGGUCACAUACAAUGGUUGGGAUUGAGGAACUCAGCACGCCGCAAGGCCGGG
This 620-nucleotide ribosomal RNA is filed under the name Cortinarius californicus. RNAcentral describes it as "eukaryotic LSU rRNA". It matches the Rfam family "Eukaryotic large subunit ribosomal RNA", at positions 1 to 622 of the family's 3401-position model. The record is from RNAcentral. Lineage: Eukaryota; Fungi; Basidiomycota; Agaricomycetes; Agaricales; Cortinariaceae.